Molecule: ribosomal RNA, 459 nt
Filed under: Flavobacteria bacterium SC4
Lineage: Bacteria; Pseudomonadati; Bacteroidota; Flavobacteriia
Also listed under: 1 other name
Description: bacterial SSU rRNA
Rfam family: Bacterial small subunit ribosomal RNA
Source: RNAcentral
UUGGAUUAAUACCCCAUAGUAUUUUUGACCGGCAUCGGUUGAUUAUUAAAGUUCCAACGGUACAAGAUGAGCAUGCGUCCCAUUAGCUAGUUGGUGUGGUAACGGCACACCAAGGCAACGAUGGGUAGGGGUCCUGAGAGGGAGAUCCCCCACACUGGUACUGAGACACGGACCAGACUCCUACGGGAGGCAGCAGUGAGGAAUAUUGGUCAAUGGGCGCAAGCCUGAACCAGCCAUGCCGCGUGCAGGAUGACGGUCCUAUGGAUUGUAAACUGCUUUUGUACAGGAAGAAACACUCCCUCGUGAGGGAGCUUGACGGUACUGUAAGAAUAAGGAUCGGCUAACUCCGUGCCAGCAGCCGCGGUAAUACGGAGGAUCCAAGCGUUAUCCGGAAUCAUUGGGUUUAAAGGGUCCGUAGGCGGUUUUAUAAGUCAGUGGUGAAAUCUGGUCGCUCAACGA